Molecule: ribosomal RNA, 492 nt
Filed under: uncultured bacterium
Lineage: Bacteria
Description: partial 16S ribosomal RNA
Rfam family: Bacterial small subunit ribosomal RNA
Source: RNAcentral
AGUGAACGCUGGCGGUAGGCCUAACACAUGCCAGUCGAACGGCAGCACAGUAAGAGCUUGCUCUUACGGGUGGCGAGUGGCGGACGGGUGAGGAAUACAUCGGAAUCUACUUUUUCGUGGGGGAUAACGUAGGGAAACUUACGCUAAUAUCGCAUACGACCUACGGGUGAAAGCAGGGGAUCUUCGGACCUUGCGCGAUUGAAUGAGCCGAUGUCGGAUUAGCUAGUUGGCGGGGUAAAGGCCCACCAAGGCGACGAUCCGUAGCUGGUCUGAGAGGAUGAUCAGCCACACUGGAACUGAGACACGGUCCAGACUCCUACGGGAGGCAGCAGUGGGGAAUAUUGGACAAUGGGCGCAAGCCUGAUCCAGCCAUACCGCGUGGGUGAAGAAGGCCUUCGGGUUGUAAAGCCCUUUUGUUGGGAAAGAAAAGCAGCAGGUUAAUACCCCGCUGUUCUGACGGUACCCAAAGAAUAAGCACCGGCUAACUUCGUG